UAGCAACGGAUUAUCCGUUGCUAAAAAAUUUCCAGAAAAAAAAAAAAAAGACAUGUUUUGCAACGGAUUAGCCGUUGCAA
RNAcentral lists this small RNA (80 nucleotides) under Salix viminalis (osier). The record is from RNAcentral. Lineage: Eukaryota; Viridiplantae; Streptophyta; Magnoliopsida; Malpighiales; Salicaceae.